This 69-nucleotide transfer RNA is filed under the name Ictidomys tridecemlineatus (thirteen-lined ground squirrel). RNAcentral's name for it is "Spermophilus tridecemlineatus (thirteen-lined ground squirrel) tRNA". It matches the Rfam family "tRNA". Rfam says of the family: Transfer RNA (tRNA) molecules are approximately 80 nucleotides in length. Their secondary structure includes four short double-helical elements and three loops (D, anti-codon, and T loops). Lineage: Eukaryota; Metazoa; Chordata; Mammalia; Rodentia; Sciuridae. The record is from Rfam by way of RNAcentral.
GGUAUUGUGGCUCAGCAGCAGAGCAUGCACCUUACACAUGCAAGGCCCUGGGUUCUAUCCUCAGCACCA